Molecule: ribosomal RNA, 245 nt
Filed under: uncultured bacterium
Lineage: Bacteria
Description: partial 16S ribosomal RNA
Rfam family: Bacterial small subunit ribosomal RNA
Source: RNAcentral
UACGUAGGUGGCAAGCGUUGUCCGGAUUUACUGGGCGUAAAGGGAGCGUAGGCGGACUUUUAAGUGAGAUGUGAAAUACCCGAGCUCAACUUGGGUGCUGCAUUUCAAACUGGAAGUCUAGAGUGCAGGAGAGGAGAAGGGAAUUCCUAGUGUAGCGGUGAAAUGCGUAGAGAUUAGGAAGAACACCAGUGGCGAAGGCGCUUCUCUGGACUGUAACUGACGCUGAGGCUCGAAAGCGUGGGGAG